This 739-nucleotide long non-coding RNA is filed under the name Nicotiana benthamiana. RNAcentral describes it as "long non-coding RNA (NBEN_LNC012877)". The record is from RNAcentral. Lineage: Eukaryota; Viridiplantae; Streptophyta; Magnoliopsida; Solanales; Solanaceae.
AAUUCUUAAUUCCCAAACGACUAACCUAAAUCCUAAUUCCGAGAAACCCUAACACCUAAACCAGCAACCACAACUGACCACACCAGUCCUCGUCGACUUCCACCAGCCAGGCAGCCACCAGUCUCCCUCUCGUCGUCUCGCCACUCCAUCUCGCCAUAGCCAGAGCAGCAGUCAGCAGAUGGCAAGUUUCAAUGGUCGUUCGACCUUCGUAUUAUUUUUUCAUCAUCUCGAAUGAAACUUCUGGUGCUGACGGCUCAUUGAUUAACUCCACUGUUUAAAGGCUUGGAUUCUUGGCAUACAUAAUUACACUAUUGAUUACGGCUUCAUAAAGGCUCAUUGAUUGACUCCACUAGAGCAGAAACAUCCUACAAUUCCACUUCUUUGUUUGCUUUUUUCCUUCUUUGUUAUCCGGCAAUUCCUCUCCAGUGGUUGAAAUCUUAGUGUUAUCUUGAACCUCCAAACUUAUCCAAAUUAAGCAGGGAACCAAGGUCCCUGCCCUUAUUUGUAACUUCCAUAUCAUAAAGUCUUAAUUUGUCUACCAAUAUAUUCUCUCAAGACAAACUUGAUUCGGGUUUGCAAGAGAAGUUAUUGCAGAUAAUUUAUGGUUUACUCUAAAGUCUAUUUAAAACAGUCUUGAAAUCUAUUUUUUAACAUAAAUGUUGCUUCCUUAUUUACUAGCACAAUGUAAUAGAAAUGAGCCCUGUUACUAAAAUUGAGAAGAGAUAUUCCAAAAGAUGGC